GGAAGACGGAUGAAAGGAUUUCCAGGUCUGUCGGGCGAAGCAGCAACCAGUCCUGGACAUUCUUUCCUUGUGGAUUCUAGCCUCUACCCAAGCAUAAAAGAUACGGAUUUUGCAACGAAGCCAAGUUUAUGAGACCCGUCCUUCAGGAAACAAAACACGGGGUGACGUGCAACGAUGGAAUAAAGGGAAAACAGCAAAUCCCCUAGAUGGAAAAAGGCAACAAACAAAACAUAAUUGACGACCCAGCCACAUCACUGUAUCAUACCUGUGGUGUGUGGAUGAUCUAUGCGCGCGCAAGCUCUCAUGGAUACGCGCUUCCUAACACCAUGCAACCACUCUAACCGCCUGUCAAGAACGAAUAAAACGAAUCCUGUUAUAACGCUGAACUCUAACGGCCACGGGUGGAAAACACAAACAAAAUCCUAAAAAUCGGUCAGUCGCUCGUGGAAUUGGAUAUUGGGACCCUCAGUCGGUAUUACGACAAUCUCCCCAAGCAUCGCUAAGCUCGUUUACACGUCGGUCACGAGUCCGAGACCCACUCCAGCGCUCACACCUCCUCUCUAGUUUACCAAGGAAGCAGCGCGCCCGGGACAAAGUGAGCUGCCUGCCUUUGGCAAUGUUUGGCAGGGAGACGCGUGCGGGUGAAGGUUCUGAUCAAAACCGCCCCCUCGAAAUCUUCCCUUUCCCAACGUUCGGUAUUCGCUCGUCCCGAGACACUUAAUUUGGAGGCUGCACUGAAGGCGGUCGCUGCGUGUCCUCCUGCUGCUGCUGCUCCUGAGCCGCAAGCACGUCCUCGGCCCGGAGCCUUGUCCGCUGCGCACCACUUUGCAGCUCCUGUCCGGUUUGCUGUGCCCGGGCGUCUGCAUCAACCUGAAAGUGGUAAACACGGUUGCGCACAGAAAAUUAGAUGCUAUCUGUGGAGGCAUAGUGCGGGGAUGAUUGUGAUAGGAUUGCGCCUUGCAAAACGGGUGGCCGACGCGGAAAACAUUGAAGCGCUCACCAAGUCGGCAGGCUCUUCCAAGCCUUUCAUAAUCGCUAGAGCUCCUACGAAGGUCGCGCCGACUGUGGCACCGACUGCAAAAAGGAAAUUAACAGCCAGUCAGCAAGGCUACUACCACAACGUCUCCCUGUCAGAGCCUUAGGUUGCGAUAUACUGGACUAUCAUACCUAACGCAGCAGCGCUACCCACGCUGACCCAAAUAGUUGAGGCAUCCUCAACGCCGGUCGGCAUUUUCUUGAAAUAUCCAAGAGCUUCAGGCUUUCACAUUACCUAUAUCCGCAUAAAUCAUACUGUGCACAAAGUCUGGAAAGAUGGAUUUGCUGCUUUUGAUGUGCGUCGCUUUUUCGCAUAUGACCCACGGACGCUCAGCAUGGGCUAACGGAGAAAACUGUGUCACACCCAUACGCACGAUCUCCAUCCUUCAAAAUCUUCCUGCAUUCCUACAUCAUCCAAUUAAAAGAUCGAUACUCAC
This 1472-nucleotide long non-coding RNA is filed under the name Volvox carteri. Its description in RNAcentral is "long non-coding RNA (VCAR_LNC001852)". Lineage: Eukaryota; Viridiplantae; Chlorophyta; Chlorophyceae; Chlamydomonadales; Volvocaceae. The record is from RNAcentral.